Molecule: ribosomal RNA, 254 nt
Filed under: uncultured Eubacteriales bacterium
Lineage: Bacteria; Bacillati; Bacillota; Clostridia; Eubacteriales
Description: uncultured Clostridiales bacterium partial 16S ribosomal RNA
Rfam family: Bacterial small subunit ribosomal RNA
Source: RNAcentral
UACGUAGGGAGCAAGCGUUGUCCGGAUUUACUGGGUGUAAAGGGUGUGUAGGCGGUUUAUUAAGUUAGAAGUGAAAUACCUAGGGCUUAACCCAGGUGCUGCUUCUAAAACUGAUAGACUUGAGUGCAGUAGAGGAAAGUGGAAUUCCUAGUGUAGCGGUGGAAUGCGUAGAUAUAUGGAAGAACACCAGUGGCGAAGGCGGCCGCCUGGCCUGUUACUGACGCUGAGGCACGAAAGCGUGGGGAGCAAAUAGG